AACGAACGCUGGCGGCGUGUUUAAGACAUGCAAGUCGCACGGAGUCAUUGAUGUAGCAAUACCUUGAUGGCUUAGUGGCGCACGGGUGAGUAACACGUGAAUGACAUGCCCUGCAGAGGGGGAUAGCCCAGGGAAACUUGGAUUAAUACACCAUGGUAUAGCAAGAUUAAACGGUGGCCCGCAAGGGCUGUCGCUGCGGGAUUGGUUCGCGCCCUAUCAGCUAGUUGGCGGGGUAACGGCCCACCAAGGCUACGACGGGUACCUGGUCUGAGGGGACGAUCAGGCACACUGGAACUGAGAACCGGUCCAGACACCUACGGGUGGCAGCAGUCGAGAAUAAUUCACAAUGGGGGCAACCCUGAUGGUGCAACGCCGCGUGGAGGAUGAAGGUCUUCGGAUUGUAAACUCCUGUCAUCCGGGAGCAAGACCUGACGGUGAAAAGCCGGCAGGGUUGAUAGUACCGGAAGAGGAAGGGACGGCUAACUUCGUGCCAGCCGCCGCAGUAACAC
RNAcentral lists this ribosomal RNA (509 nucleotides) under uncultured bacterium. RNAcentral describes it as "bacterial SSU rRNA". It matches the Rfam family "Bacterial small subunit ribosomal RNA", at positions 29 to 526 of the family's 1533-position model. The record is from RNAcentral.